This 404-nucleotide ribosomal RNA is filed under the name uncultured bacterium. RNAcentral's name for it is "partial 16S ribosomal RNA". It matches the Rfam family "Bacterial small subunit ribosomal RNA", at positions 28 to 526 of the family's 1533-position model. The record is from RNAcentral.
GACGAACGCUGGCGGCGUGCCUAAUACAUGCAAGUCGAACAGUGGCGAACGGGUGAGUAACAAGUGAGUAACCUGCCCUCCACUUUGGGAUAACUCCGAGAAAUCGGGGCUAAUACUGGAUAGCGGGGGAUGGGCUCGCGGCCUAUCAGUUUGUUGGUGAGGUAGUGGUCACCAAGGCGUGACGGGUAGCCGGCCUGAGAGGGCGGCCGGCGACCCGGGGACUGAGACACGGCCCAGACUCCUACGGGAGGCAGCAGUGGGGAAUAUUGCACAAUGGGCGAAAGCCUGAUGCAGCGACGCCGCGUGGGGGAUGACGGCUUUCGAGUUGUAAACCUCUGUCAGCAAGGAAGCGGUACUUGCAGAAGAAGCGCCGGCUAACUACGUGCCAGCAGCCGCGGUAAUAC